CUUGCAAUGAACAUGAACAAAGCAAAGUGUGACCCAGACCCCAGAAGAAGUCUUUAUCCAAAAUUAAGCUUUUCAUUAAUUGUUUUGUGAGGGUGAGUUGGUGCAUUUACAACACACUUUUUUUUGCUUUUUGGUCAUAUCAAUUUUCUUGCACCUAGUUGCUUUGCUUACAUUUUAAUGGUUUGAAAUUUAAACAAUUAAAUUGUAAGUAAAGCAAUUGGGUACAAUAAAAUGAUAUGACAGGAAGCACGGAAAAUGUGUUGGAAAAUUCACCAAUUACACCCUUUCAAAAUAAUUAGGGUAAAGUUAAGAAAAUGUCAACAAGUGGCAGGAAGCUAAAAAUGGUUGUAAAGGCAUACAGAAACGUAAGACAUAUUUGAAUUAUGGAGGGAAAAACUUUGGUCGCAAUGCCUUCUUAGAAAACAAGUCACCUAUGGAAAAAUUAUUGGUUGCCAUGGUUACACAUGAAGUAACAAACAUUUGUUGAUCAGAACCAAGUAGUGUGGUUGCCAGUUGUUCCAGUCAAUGGUUGCUCAAUGUGUGCCACCUCAUGAAAGUCUUGCAAUGAACAUGAACAAAGCAAAGUGUGACCCAGACCCCAGAAGAAGUCUUUAUCCAAAAUUAAGCUUUUCCUUAAUUGUUU
Aethina tumida (small hive beetle) is the source of this 643-nucleotide long non-coding RNA. RefSeq lists it as uncharacterized. The record is from RefSeq and is a predicted model, not a curated record. Lineage: Eukaryota; Metazoa; Arthropoda; Insecta; Coleoptera; Nitidulidae. The transcript has 3 exons.